UUUUUUUCAAGCUUCCACAGUUAAAGAGCCUAUUAUUCCAAUUCUCACCAUUUUUUCACAAGUCUGAUCAACUGUAUCAUAUAUCUUCAUACUAAGCAAUGUGUCAAAUUUCAGUGAUGAACUAAAAUAUUAAGAUUUAAAUACUAAAUGUUCACUAUCUUUUUUUUCUCUUGUGCUCAAGCUCCCUGGGGCUGGCUCAAAGUGUGGAGGUUCAUUAUCAGUUGAGUGUCAAUGUCAGAAAGAGAAAACCCCAACCCUCCUAUAUAAAAAGUACACAUGCACAGAGAUACUUCUUAUUUCAGAUAGAAUCCUAUAAAAUUAGUUGAUAGUAGCAAGGAAAGGAACAACACAUUAAAUGCAUACCUUUGAAGAUCUGCCUAACUCCCUCCUUUGACAUUAUUUUCAUGGCUUUACCUUUUAAAAGGAAAAUAAUUAUCUUGUAAACAACUUUAGUAACAGAUCCUAGCUUCUUACAAGGAACUUUAGAGAUUAAUCCAUCUGACAUCUUAAAAACAAAAUUUAAACAUCAGAAAAUAUAUCCCAAUAUCAAGAGUGAUCAAGAAGGUUUCCAAAAAACUUUAUCCCAAAAGUAUAGGUGAAACAUGUUCUAGAUCUGUAUUUUCAAAACAGCCUAAGUUCCAUCAUAUAAACAAAACCACCAUAUAUGGAAUAUAAUUCAAUUUAAUUUCAUGAUUCAAUUUAAUUUCAUCUAGAUAUGUUUGGACUGGAUGUGACCAAAAUCAGUAACCUAUUUUUCAAUGUCUUGGGCAUGUAGCAACAGCCCACAUCCCAGUGAUUUCCAGGUCCUUUUAUCAUACAGAUAGUUCGUUUAACCAUCUGUUUGGGGCCAGCAAUAACAUGGCUUCAUUUUGUUCAUCCAUUGAGCACUAUCAUUUCAGCAAUGAAGCCUCCCUUGCCUGAAACCCCAUGUGGUUCCAUUUACAGGCCUUUCUGCCUAAUGGUUUUGGAGAUGGAGGUCAGGGAAUCUGAAAGCCUUCUUGAUCUGCUGAGGACUAUGGUGAGCCAAUAAUCCCAUGAUGCAUUGUUCAUUAUGUAAAAAUUGAAAACAAUCUAAAUAUUCAACAGUAAAGGAUUUUCAGAGCUAAAUACCCUUCAUCUUUGUGCAGGGAGAUGAAGAAGUCAAGAAAACUAAUGGAGACUAUUCUUUAAAGGAGAACAGCUGCAAAGGUAGAGAUAGGCAAUAGCUAUAAGAGGAAGGUCUAGGAAUUAUUUUUUACGAUAAGUAAAUAUGUAGUAGAAAUAGCCAAAAGGUGGAAGAACAAAACUAAAUAUAACAAUUAUUUAAAAAUUCAUCAUGUUAAUUAUGUAAGGAAAUUAAAAAGCUUUGGUGGACUGAGUAGAACCUCUUCUCUCUUUCUCUCUCUCUUUUUUACUUCAAUUAUUUAAAAACAUCACCACUAGUCUCUCUUUUUCUCACUUGCUAUCUCUCCCCUCCCCUCACCUCCUUUGCAGCAACCCACUGCUAUCUUUCUCCUCACUUGGUUCAGUAUUCCUGGAAUAUUUAACUGCAUGACAGGAUGAAGAUCAACCA
Molecule: long non-coding RNA, 1552 nt
Organism: Pongo abelii (Sumatran orangutan)
Lineage: Eukaryota; Metazoa; Chordata; Mammalia; Primates; Hominidae
Source: Ensembl